AACUCAGAUGUUGAACGUGAAGGAUAACGUUGCGUCAGCAACGGCCCGUAGGGCGAGGCGAAGCCGAAUCAUCCUGCACGACCCACCA
RNAcentral lists this small RNA (88 nucleotides) under Salmonella enterica subsp. enterica serovar Muenchen. RNAcentral's name for it is "partial RtT sRNA". It matches the Rfam family "RtT RNA", at positions 46 to 130 of the family's 130-position model. Rfam says of the family: This family represents a bacterial cis-regulatory element known as RtT RNA. The exact function of RtT is unknown although it is thought that it may be involved in changing the cellular response in relation to amino acid starvation. Lineage: Bacteria; Pseudomonadati; Pseudomonadota; Gammaproteobacteria; Enterobacterales; Enterobacteriaceae. The record is from RNAcentral.